Molecule: ribosomal RNA, 465 nt
Filed under: uncultured bacterium
Lineage: Bacteria
Description: partial 16S ribosomal RNA
Rfam family: Bacterial small subunit ribosomal RNA
Source: RNAcentral
GACGAACGCUGGCGGCGUGCUUAACACAUGCAAGUCGAACGGAAAGGCCCUGCUUGCCGGGUACUCGAGUGGCGAACGGGUGAGUAACACGUGGGUGAUCUGCCCUGCACUUCGGGAUAAGCCUGGGAAACUGGGUCUAAUACCGGAUAGGAGCCAUUUUUAGUGUGAUGGUUGGAAAGUUUUUUCGGUGUAGGAUGAGCUCGCGGCCUUUCAGCUUGUUGGUGGGGUAAUGGCCUACCAAGGCGGCGACGGGUAGCCGGCCUGAGAGGGUGGACGGCCACAUUGGGACUGAGAUACGGCCCAGACUCCUACGGGAGGCAGCAGUGGGGAAUAUUGCACAAUGGGCGCAAGCCUGAUGCAGCGACGCCGCGUGGGGGAUGACGGCCUUCGGGUUGGAAACUCCUUUCGCUAGGGACGAAGCUUUUUGUGACGGUACCUAGAUAAGAAGCACCGGCUAACUACGUG